This 85-nucleotide transfer RNA is filed under the name Felis catus (domestic cat). It matches the Rfam family "tRNA". From Rfam's summary of the family: Transfer RNA (tRNA) molecules are approximately 80 nucleotides in length. Their secondary structure includes four short double-helical elements and three loops (D, anti-codon, and T loops). Lineage: Eukaryota; Metazoa; Chordata; Mammalia; Carnivora; Felidae. The record is from Rfam by way of RNAcentral.
GCCUGGGUGGCUCAGUUGGUUGAGCGUCUGACUUCAGCUCAGGUCAUGAUCUCGCAGUUCGUGAGUUAGAGCCCCGCAUCGGGCU